CACUAUCGUUAACUGAAUACAUAGGUUAACGAGGCGAACCGGGGGAACUGAAACAUCUAAGUACCCCGAGGAAAAGAAAUCAACCGAGAUUCCCCCAGUAGCGGCGAGCGAACGGGGAGCAGCCCAGAGUCUGAAUCAGCUUGUGUGUUAGUGGAACGGUCUGGAAAGUCCGACGGUACAGGGUGAUAGUCCCGUACACCAAAAUGCACAGGCUGUGAACUCGAAGAGUAGGGCGGGACACGUGGUAUCCUGUCUGAAUAUGGGGGGACCAUCCUCCAAGGCUAAAUACUCCUGACUGACCGAUAGUGAACCAGUACCGUGAGGGAAAGGCGAAAAGAACCCCGGCGAGGGGAGUGAAAAAGAACCUGAAACCGUGUACGUACAAGCAGUGGGAGCACCUUNGGUGUGACUGCGUACCUUUUGUAUAAUGGGUCAGCGACUUAUAUUCUGUAGCAAGGUUAACCGUAUAGGGGAGCCGCAGGGAAACCGAGUCUUAACUGGGCGUUAAGUUGCAGGGUAUAGACCCGAAACCCGGUGAUCUAGCCAUGGGCAGGUUGAAGGUUGGGUAACACUAACUGGAGGACCGAACCGACUAAUGUUGAAAAAUUAGCGGAUGACUUGUGGCUGGGGGUGAAAGGCCAAUCAAACCGGGAGAUAGCUGGUUCUCCCCGAAAGCUAUUUAGGUAGCGCCUCGUGAACUCAUCUUCGGGGGUAGAGCACUGUUUCGGCUAGGGGGUCAUCCCGACUUACCAACCCGAUGCAAACUACGAAUACCGAAGAAUGUUAUCACGGGAGACACACGGCGGGUGCUAACGUCCGUCGUGAAGAGGGAAACAACCCAGACCGCCAGCUAAGGUCCCAAAGUCAUGGUUAAGUGGGAAACGAUGUGGGAAGGCACAGACAGCCAGGAUGUUGGCUUAGAAGCAGCCAUCAUUUAAAGAAAGCGUAAUAGCUCACUGGUCGAGUCGGCCUGCGCGGAAGAUGUAACGGGGCUAAACCAUGCACCGAAGCUGCGGCAGCGACACGAUGUGUUGUUGGGUAGGGGAGCGUUCUGUAAGCCUGCGAAGGUGACCUGUGAGGGUUGCUGGAGGUAUCAGAAGUGCGAAUGCUGACAUAAGUAACGAUAAAGCGGGUGAAAAGCCCGCUCGCCGGAAGACCAAGGGUUCCUGUCCAACGUUAAUCGGGGCAGGGUGAGUCGACCCCUAAGGCGAGGCCGAAAGGCGUAGUCGAUGGGAAACAGGUUAAUAUUCCUGUACUUGGUGUUACUGCGAAGGGGGGACGGAGAAGGCUAUGUUAGCCGGGCGACGGUUGUCCCGGUUUAAGCAUGUAGGCUGGUUAUCCAGGCAAAUCCGGAUAAUCAAGGCUGAGGUGUGAUGACGAGGCACUACGGUGCUGAAGUAACAAAUGCCCUGCUUCCAGGAAAAGCCUCUAAGCAUCAGGUAACAUCAAAUCGUACCCCAAACCGACACAGGUGGUCAGGUAGAGAAUACCAAGGCGCUUGAGAGAACUCGGGUGAAGGAACUAGGCAAAAUGGUGCCGUAACUUCGGGAGAAGGCACGCUGGUGUGUAGGUGAAGUCCCUGCGGAUGGAGCUGAGACCAGUCGAAGAUACCAGCUGGCUGCAACUGUUUAUUAAAAACACAGCACUGUGCAAACACGAAAGUGGACGUAUACGGUGUGACGCCUGCCCGGUGCCGGAAGGUUAAUUGAUGGGGUUAUCCGUAAGGAGAAGCUCUUGAUCGAAGCCCCGGUAAACGGCGGCCGUAACUAUAACGGUCCUAAGGUAGCGAAAUUCCUUGUCGGGUAAGUUCCGACCUGCACGAAUGGCGUAAUGAUGGCCAGGCUGUCUCCACCCGAGACUCAGUGAAAUUGAACUCGCUGUGAAGAUGCAGUGUACCCGCGGCAAGACGGAAAGACCCCGUGAACCUUUACUAUAGCUUGACACUGAACAUUGAGCCUUGAUGUGUAGGAUAGGUGGGAGGCUUUGAAGCGUGGACGCCAGUCUGCGUGGAGCCAACCUUGAAAUACCACCCUUUAAUGUUUGAUGUUCUAACGUUGGCCCCUUACCGGGGUUGCGGACAGUGUCUGGUGGGUAGUUUGACUGGGGCGGUCUCCUCCCAAAGCGUAACGGAGGAGCACGAAGGUUAGCUAAUCCUGGUCGGACAUCAGGAGGUUAGUGCAAUGGCAUAAGCUAGCUUGACUGCGAGCGUGACGGCGCGAGCAGGUGCGAAAGCAGGUCAUAGUGAUCCGGUGGUUCUGAAUGGAAGGGCCAUCGCUCAACGGAUAAAAGGUACUCCGGGGAUAACAGGCUGAUACCGCCCAAGAGUUCAUAUCGACGGCGGUGUUUGGCACCUCGAUGUCGGCUCAUCACAUCCUGGGGCUGAAGUAGGUCCCAAGGGUAUGGCUGUUCGCCAUUUAAAGUGGUACGCGAGCUGGGUUUAGAACGUCGUGAGACAGUUCGGUCCCUAUCUGCCGUGGGCGCUGGAGAAUUGAGGGGGGCUGCUCCUAGUACGAGAGGACCGGAGUGGACGCAUCACUGGUGUUCGGGUUGUCAUGCCAAUGGCACUGCCCGGUAGCUAAAUGCGGAAGAGAUAAGUGCUGAAAGCAUCUAAGCACGAAACUUGCCCCGAGAUGAGUUCUCCCUGAGACUUUAAGUCUCCUGAAGGAACGUUGAAGACGACGACGUUGAUAGGCCGGGUGUGUAAGCGCAGCGAUGCGUUGAGCUAACCGGUACUAAUGAACCGUGAGGCUUAACCUU
Molecule: ribosomal RNA, 2757 nt
Filed under: Klebsiella pneumoniae
Lineage: Bacteria; Pseudomonadati; Pseudomonadota; Gammaproteobacteria; Enterobacterales; Enterobacteriaceae
Also listed under: 1 other name
Description: bacterial LSU rRNA
Rfam family: Bacterial large subunit ribosomal RNA
Source: RNAcentral